AUGGACAAGGAAAUCAUGGAACAUGACGUAUUGGAGCGUAUAUUUGAUGGGAGCAUCAAGCCAACAGAUCUAAAGUUAUCAGCUCUACAGAGCAUCACCGGAAAUUUCUCACAAGAGCAAAUAGUUGGUAUGGGCGGAUUUGGAACCGUUUACAAGGGUGUCCUUCGAAACGGAGAAGUUGCUGUGAAGAGGAUAAACAACAACCAUACAGUAGAUGAGAAUGUAUUUCGUCGCGAGGUUAACAGCUUAUUGCAUGUCAGCCAUAAAAAUAUAGUUCGGUUUCUUGGCUUCUGUUCUCACACAAAACAUAAAGUAUUCGAAAAUAAAGGAUCAAGAGAUUACAUUUACGCUGAGAGUAGGGAAAGAAUUCUCUGUUUUGAGUACAUCAACAACGGAAGUCUUGAAAAAUAUAUUACAUGUACACUCUGGAUUAUGAAACUUUUCUCUCUCUUUUACUCUCCAAUGACUGGGUCACAAAUUAUGAGGGACUGA
Molecule: ribosomal RNA, 492 nt
Filed under: Triticum aestivum (bread wheat)
Lineage: Eukaryota; Viridiplantae; Streptophyta; Magnoliopsida; Poales; Poaceae
Description: partial small subunit ribosomal RNA
Source: RNAcentral